UACAUCGACUGAAAUAUGUUCACCAUAAAUAGUUUGUAACUUAACUGUUGCUGUGUCUAGUUCGUUGUACUUUGUUGUUCUUGUCUCCAAAUGCCGAUAAUACUAUCGCCUCCCUUCAUGUUGGUCUUAUAUCCGAUUUAUCUGCUAAAUGCCUGGUGAUAAAUGACUUUUGAGCGCCUUCGUCAAAAAGGAUGUUUGCGUUAAUCUUUUGUUAACAAAACCUCAGGACGGCCACAGUUGAAUGACGAAUUAAACGGAUGUCUCAGAUUCCUUCGAUUUGUAUGUUUAUGCUAUGUGUGUACUCGUAGUUUCUUUCCCAUUAUGCAUAUGGUCGUUGCUGCAUCAGAUUGUGUGAUGACGUCUGUAACUUUUUUUGCAGUUUAUUUCGAUUUACAAACUGCUUAACG
Molecule: long non-coding RNA, 407 nt
Filed under: Mytilus galloprovincialis (Mediterranean mussel)
Lineage: Eukaryota; Metazoa; Mollusca; Bivalvia; Mytilida; Mytilidae
Source: RNAcentral